This 684-nucleotide ribosomal RNA is filed under the name Umbelopsis dimorpha. RNAcentral's name for it is "eukaryotic LSU rRNA". It matches the Rfam family "Eukaryotic large subunit ribosomal RNA", at positions 42 to 648 of the family's 3401-position model. Lineage: Eukaryota; Fungi; Mucoromycota; Umbelopsidomycetes; Umbelopsidales; Umbelopsidaceae. The record is from RNAcentral.
AUCAAUAAGCGGAGGAAAAGAAACUAACAAGGAUUCCCCUAGUAACGGCGAGUGAAGCGGGAAGAGCUCAAAUUUAAAAUCUGGUUUGCUUGCAAAUCCGAGUUGUAGUCUGAAGAAACGUUUUCCAUGAAAGCUGAGGCACAAGUCCUUUGGAACAGGGCAUCAUAGAGGGUGAGAAUCCCGUCCAUGGUCUCAAGCCUUUCAUUUUGUGAUACGUUUUCUAAGAGUCAGGUUGUUUGGGAAUGCAGCCUAAAAUGGGUGGUAAAUUUCAUCUAAAGCUAAAUAUUGGCGAGAGACCGAUAGCGAACAAGUACCGUGAGGGAAAGAUGAAAAGAACUUUGAAAAGAGAGUUAAAAAGUACGUGAAAUUGUUGAAAGGGAACCGUUUGAAGCCAGUCUUGCUUGCUUGUGAUCAGUCUUUGCUUCGGCUUGGAUGCACUCUCAGGUUAUGCAGGUCAACGUCAGUUUGAGAGGUGGGAAAAAAGCGUGAGGAAUGUGGCCUUCGGGUGUUAUAGCCUCUUGCUAAAUACCAUCUUUUGGACUGAGGCUCGCAGCAAAAAUGUGGGCAGGUUUGCGUUUGAGGUGAUACAUUAUUAAGACAGCUUGCUGACUUAGUUUUGUCUAUCUUCACUGUAAGCUUCGCUUCUAAUUUGCUUAGGUCGUUGACAUAAUGGCUUUAAAUGAC